CACGUAGGGCGCAAGCGUUGUCCGGAAUUAUUGGGCGUAAAGAGCUCGUAGGCGGUCUGUUGCGUCUGCUGUGAAAACCCGGGGCUUAACCCCUGGCUUGCAGUGGAUACGGACAGACUAGAGGUAGGUAGGGGAGAAUGGAAUUCCCGGUGUAGCGGUGAAAUGCGCAGAUAUCAGGAGGAACACCGAUGGCGAAGGCAGGUCUCUGGGCAUUAACUGACGCUGAGGAGCGAAAGCAUGGGGAGCGAACAGG
This 253-nucleotide ribosomal RNA is filed under the name uncultured bacterium. Its description in RNAcentral is "partial 16S ribosomal RNA". It matches the Rfam family "Bacterial small subunit ribosomal RNA", at positions 524 to 776 of the family's 1533-position model. The record is from RNAcentral.